GGGAGAGGGAACUGAAGAAAAGUGUCCGCUGAGAAAAGAAAGGAAAAAGAGAAUAUUUUCAAGCAGGACAGAGAGAAAAGGAUAGUGAGGAUAAUGCAAGGGAAGACUUAAAAAUAUACAAAUAGGAGAGAGAGCGUUAGAAAAGCAUAAAUCAAAGGACAUGAUGACAGGUAGAGAGAUUGAGAAGGGCAGCACUGCAAGAGAAACCAAGGGAAGUCACUAAAAAGAGGACAGAGAGGAGACAUAGUAAAUGUAUCAGAAGUGUCAGAAUUAGCGGAUUAACAGACAAAAGGGUGGAAUAGAAAACGGGUAAAUAUUAGUGGGAGUAAGGAAUUAUCCAAGUCAGAUGAUACGUGUCGCCUUAGGAACAUUCUGCUCGCAUUUUUUGUUUCGGUGCUGAGGAAAGUUAGAGAUUUGGGAGGAGAAAGUCAGGGGGAUGUAAUGAAAGUGUAUCUGCACCCACAUAGUGCCAGUUCCACAGACAGCCUGGGCACAUCUCCGACAGUACUCGGGUAAGACAUUCUACUUUUUACAAAUGUUUUGGGAGUUUGGUGCCUUACUGCACAAUGCUGUAGGUAACUGGGGCAUGAUGUGCAGGUCUGGGAUGACUUUUCCUCAUAUUUAUGGGCAAUAUGAUAUACAGAGGUGUGUGUAGAUGAACAACCGCACUAGUUACAAAAAUAUAUAUAGUAUGUCAAUAUUAUUUACUUACAUAAAUAACUAAAUAUAUCCAUUUUAGAACAAUAUGUGUAUAUCUAUACUGAAUAUAUUUAUAAUACAUAUUUAUCUGUGUGUGUGCCUAUUAAUUAUAUUUGAGAUUAUAUAUUCACCAUAUUUAUCUCUCUCUCUCUCUCAAUAUAUAUAUACCUAUUGCAUAAUAUGUACUUGUGUCUUUCUAGAAAGUGUUGUAAUUUGUAGAAUUAUUCUCAGGUAGUUGUUUUUAAUGUCAAAUAAAUGCAUAAGUAUAUUAACAGAAAAAAAACCUCGGAAACAAUAGAUAUUAUAUGUACGUGCCUAACAGAUGAAAAUGAUGGGUGUUUGCUUAUGUAAUAAAAAACACACAAGGAGACGGAGCGAGAGACACAAUAUACUGUUAACGUUAAUAUGCCAGCUUACUGUGCAGUAAUUAUAUAACUUUUCUAGUAUCAUAAAGACAGGCAUGGAAAGGUAAUAAUUAUAUUAACAUCAAGCAGUUAUUUUUAUAUCUCCGUGGUACAUGUAUUAGUUAACCAUGUAUUUUAAGCACAGUUCUAAUGCAAGGAAAAAUACUUUUGGAGUUGAAGAAAAUUAACUUUUGCAUUUAAUAGGUUUGUAAUACUGAGCACAUAUCAGUUGUUACUCUUGAAAAGACAAGAUUGUGUAUUGAUUUGCUUUCAUGGUGGUCUUUUGCAUAACCUUUAGGUAUCAGCAGGGAUGUGAACACAGGGUUAAAUAAAUCCAAUUAGGACAGGAUUAAAAAUAAUUAUAAAAUCCUGCAACCAAGCCUUAUACAAUUUAAACCUAAUCGUUGAUUUACUAAACACCAAAUUGUACUGAAUUGAAAACUGAACCACAAAAUUAAUUCUAAAAGCUGUAGUGAAUUUCUCCAAACUGACAUUUUUUUGUCUACAUUUUGCAAGCUGGUAAUCACUCUACUACAAUUUGAUGAAUAGUGAAUAAGCCGCCUAGUUUCCAAUAAACCUUCCAGUGACUAUUUUAUUGUAGACAAAAGUUAUUUCCCAUCUUUUGUUGUAUCUUAAUACUGAUCCUGGCUAUAUAAAGAAUAUUUAUUUAAAAAAAAAAUGUAAAGGUUUUUUUUAAAACUAUUUUUAAUGCAACUCAUUUUCCACGUAAAAAAGAGCUACAAGAUAAUUCUGCCAUCACUUCCCCUUCUGCAGCUUUUGGAACAAUUAACACCACCAUGAUGGAAAAAUGUAAUUACAUGAGAUAAUGGGUCCAUUAAUCCAAUAGUAUUUUGGGUAAAACUUUGCUACAGUUUAAGAUAAAUGUCAAGGCAAGCACUUCGUUUUAGAAGCCAUAUUUGAAACCCAAACCAUUUCUCAUAUAUUUCCAUAGAAACACAGAAUCUGAUGGCAGUUCAGUUAAGAGCCACUUAACCCUUCCUUCCCCAGCUGCUUUAACGCCUUGGAACCCUGUAUGUGAUGACAUCUUAAAAUCAGUAUAACAUUAUUUGCCAAAAAAGUUUAGAAUGUAUGUAUUCAACAUCUUGUUGUAGGUUUCAAUGGUUUACUAUACUUUCCUAUUGCCGGAUCACAUAGUGCACUUUUUAAUACUCUACAGAUGAUAUAGCAUAUGUGCCGUGGAACAAAUAUCCCCUAAUACAUUCCGGGGUGCAAUAAGAACAUUUCUGCAUCAGAUCUUCAGAAUUGAUUUCUUAAAAUCUCAACACCUUCAUUUGAUGUGCUCUGGUUAUUUUAAUAAUGAAUCAAACACUCAGGCUGAUCUGGUGCUGUAAAAUCAAAUCAACAUUUUUUAAAAUUUUUUUAAUUGUAUAGUCUAAUGUUUGGAAAAAUACAACAAAAAUAUCUAAUAUUUCAAAUACAACAUAAUAGUGUAAAUAUGUUUCUUGGUUGCUAUGUUAUAUGCUAUUUUACUUGAUGUCUUUACAUUGACUGUAACAUUUAGAGAUAGCAUUAAAUUGUGAGCUCCGUUGUCUACAUUAUUAUAGUUUAUUCAAACAGGUAUUCUGAGGGGUUUAAGUGAAAAUAUAUAGAUGGGCUCUUUGAUAACAAGCCCCCAAAAAUUCCAUCGUCCCCCAAAAAAAUAUUACUGUAUAGUUUAAAACUUUCUGAAGGUGGUCAUUUUAACUUAAUUAUAUGUAGCUGUGUGUAAAUAUUCCUCAGUUGUUAGUUAGGGUGGUUUCUCUGCAUAUUUUGGGGCAACAGAGGAGGGUAGUUAUAUUUAUCUUAAGCUGCCUCUCUGGGGUGUGGCCAUCUUCUGUCCUAAGCCCCUGGUGCUUUAUCUGUGAGGAGCCGUGUAAGUACUAUAAUAUAAACACCACAGGUUCCUUCACAGACUAAGUCUGUAAGAAGAAGCCUUAUUACCACAUUCGGCACUAGUGACGGCUGAGGGAAGUGACAAAAUCUGACAGUGGAAGCUCCACCCUUUGUCGAGUUUUGUCACCGUUGGGCUUUACCAUAAGACUAGUGCACAAUGUGUCUUAUGAUAUCUUUUUGACUGCAUUAGAAUUUCAAUGAAUUACCUACAUACUCAAUAUGAGUAUUCCAUAAAGAAAUCUUUACCAAAUUAAUUAGAAAUAAUCCAACAAAAGAAAAUAUUAAAAUAAAAAUAUCAUGCAUAAAAUUGGAAUAUUUGCAGACGAUGUUGUAUUGUCUUUAAGAAAUGCCACUUCCUCACUUCAUUCCAUAAUGUCCAUAUUAAAACAAUUUGGUGACGGUACGUCUUAUCUAAAUUGAAUGAAACUAAAAGUCAAGCAGUGUGGGCUACCUCAAAUUUUGAGUUGAGGCACAUUCCUUAUUUUAGCAUUACUCUUAACAAAAACCUGUUGAAAAUGCAUGUGUGUAUUCUCGCGAAAGUUUGGCCAGGUUUACAGACAGAGUUGGAAGGAAUUGGAAAUAUCAUGGCUGGGUAGGAUUUGUUUGAAGAUGAUAGAAGAUGAAUGUCCAUCCAUAGGUUUUGUAUUUUUUACGUGGCAUUCCAAUGUCGGUUCUAUUAUCAUUUUUAAGGAAGAUCCACACAGCCAUAAAACCGUACAUCUGAUCGAAUAAACCUAGUAGAAUAAGGAUGUCUGUGUUGCAGGACCUUAAAACGCAUGGUGGCUUGGGUGUGCCCAACUUCAGAAAUUAUUACUUUGCAGCAAAUUCUGCCCAGGUUUUUAAAUUCAAUUCGGACACCAACUUGCCUCACUAGUUUUUGACCAAGAGAGAUAAAUCACUUACCCAUUUAAUUAAAGAGGUAUUAUGGCUUCCACAUAAGUUACUGCCUAAGAUUAGGGAAACAAUUCCCACUACCAAGAUGACUUUAAAGGUAUAUCUUUAACUUCCUUAUACAUGACUUGGGAUAUCAUGUAUAAGGAAGUUAAGUGUAGUGUUUUGUGGUCUAGAUCUACGCCAACAUCUGUUCUAAAGUAUGAUACACCUAGGGUUGAUGUGGAUUUACUCUCUUACUAAUUUGGAUGAUGUGAUUUGAUAAACUUCAGCUGAAAUAUAAUUUGGACGAUUCGGCUGCCCCAUAACAUGAGAUUGUAUUUGGUUAUUAAUGCUAGGCCCCAAGCUAAGUUGGACUUUAAAAUUGCAUGGGGAAGGGAUCUUCAGAAGGAAUGGUCUUUGGAGGAUUGGCUGAGCAUUGAUUUAAAUUUGAAAGGCAUUACGCAAUGUUCAACACAUUUAGAAAAACACUUCACGGUGCUAUAUAGAUGGUAUUUAACCCCAUUUAGACUUCAGAAAAUCUGCCCAAAUUCAUCUAGUUUAUGUUAGUGGUUGUGGACAGGUAGGCACUUACAUUCAUAUAUGUCCAUGAAUUCAGGAGUUUUGGAAAGAUGUUCACAAAGUCAUUACAGACAUUAAUCCCUAAAUUCAACACAGAAACUUUAAAGAUCUCUCCUGAUGCUUUUUUUCGUUUGGUCUGCACACCAUGCUUUACCUUCAUAUGCAGUGCGUAAUAUAAAUCACCAACACGUAGUGAGCACUUAUGAUGCUUUGUUUUAUUAAGGAUGGAAGUUUUGUCCUAAUUAUUUGUAUUAUUUAUGUUUAUGUUUUUAUAUUUUUUUUUUCUAUUACUGUUAAAAAAUGUAAAUAUAUUCUUCAGAGCAUGGAAAAGCGAUAUAUGCCAGCAUUUCAGAUCCUUUCCCCCCUGUUUUAGACAGUUAGUUACAGAGAGGAUUGGAGGGACGCAGAACAAAUGUAUCACCUGUAUCUGUAUUGUUGCGAACCAAGUGUUUAGAAGGUUGUGUACAGCUUGUUGAUCAAUAAGAAAUCUGACUGCCAAGUUGGAAUAAAAAUAUAUCCCCCUGCCCGCCAUUUUGUGGCAAAAUUGAAAAACACUUCAGGCUAGGUUUUGGGGUUUUUUAACAGCUGACACAGAGCUGUGUGAAAAGGCUGAAUUAGAUUUUUUUGAAUAUUUUUUUUCAGCCUAUAUGACUAUGUAAGUUUUUGUUGUCCAUCCUAUGAUGGAUGGUGCCUGCACCAACAAAAAUUAUGAUAUGUACAAUUAUUUACAUAGCACCAACAUAUUCUGCAGUGCUGCACAAUAGCAAACAAGACAAAUUCUUUAAUUUCUUUAACUUUAAUUCUAACGAAACAUUUAUUAUUAUUAUUGCGAUUUAUAUAGCGUCAACAGAUUCCGUAGCGCUUUAUGUUUAACAUACAUAGGAGUUGAAGCUGCAUAUAAGAUAGCAAAGCCAUGCAAACAAGGACCUCGAUUUAAUAUUUUUGGAUAAGCUUUCGAAAUUGUUCACAAUCUGGUAGAAAUGUUUUUAUUUAUAUUGUUAUUAUUAUUUAUAUGCCACCAAAAUAUUCUGCAACACUUCUCAUAAAGAAAAGGGUGAGGAACAGAUUGUGAUCAUAUGAGAUGGCUUUUUAAAAAUAUUAAAUUGAGACCAAGGAUUGGUGUGCAUUAUAUUUUAAAGAUAGAAUGCCAUACCUCUCAACUUGGAAGGUAUGAAACUGGCAUUGGGGACUGGUGUAAGGUGAUAUGCUAAUGAUGCAGUAACACCACUAGUGAUGCCCAUAGUAAUGGAUCCAAAAAAAAAGUCAGGAAAGCUCCAAGAAUAUGGCCGCACAUGCACAGAGUGACAUUAAAUCAUUCUGUCCAUGGGCUAUACGCUGUCAGUGUAGAUUGUAUAGCAAGAACGCAUUCAAUAGUACAGUUCUGCAGUGCCUUAUGGGGACUUGGUCUCUGGUAUCUGUAGACACAUGACCCCAGAGAGCAAACCUGCAACAUCAGGACAAGGACUGUCCUAGCAGAGGUAUGGAAUGUUAUAAACUAAGGCUUAAUGCCAUUUACAGACUGUUUAGUUUUUUUCUGCCUAUAUUUUAAGUUGGUGCAAUACACAUUUAUUUAUCAUUAAAACAGUCUGAUUAUAAUUAUUAUUCACUCCACUCAUCCCUCCUUAAGUCUGUUUUAACAAAACUCAGCCCGCUCUCUUUCCCUUCUGUAUACCUUACGUCCACAACCCUUACAACACAUGUGAUCUUUUACAGCCUUGUUCAUUUUCACUCUAAUACUGUACUCAUGGAAUAAACUCUCUUCGCACAAUCGCACAAUUUUUUAUGCGAGGCGAGUGUGCUCAUGCUAUUGGUACCCAUAUGGGGAUUAGGGUGUAAUUAAGGCGAGUGCAUGGUCUGUGUUAUGUUCUUUUGAGUGGUUGGGUGUCACAAUCCUCUGUUGCUUGGGAAGGGGGCAUAAUGUGGUAGGUUAGUUUUGUAGUUUAUCGCGUUAUAAGUUGGCGUUUGUGCCCCUGUGUAAGACUAGGGCCUCUAUCAGAGCCUUAGCAGAGGUUGUGUGUCGAGUGUGAGGUGCGUGGAUUGGUGGAUAGUGUUGUGGGUCAUGGGGGGGGGGUUGUAUCACGACCUGUUUAAGGGGAAACAGUAACUAAACUUGGAGUGUAGAGAGAACAGUAGGGUAAACUUAGACAGGAGAACAGCAGAACAUGGAAACUAGUAAUAUGCAUUUUGUGAGGUGUUCAGGUCACCGCCUCCUGCCUCCGGCUACUCCUGAGGAAGAAUGGAACAGUUCUCUCUGGAUCCCACAGGGAUGGGUUGAUGGUGUCCCGGUGUUGGGGUGAUCAGUGUUAGUCCCAAUUUUUGGAGGAAGGCAGGGGCCUCCGAUAGUGUGGAGAGUUUUAGGACAUCUUCUCUGCUGAUAACUGCCAAGGUCUUGGAAAAAGGUGAGUUGUGAAGACUCUUACCACUGCUAAUUUGCAGCGUUUGUCUGACAUGGAGUGGCAACGGACUAUGAUGUCCCUUGGAGCCGUUGUGGGUGCCCGUUUGGCCUUGUUUAUGCGAAAAUGGCCGUCGAAUUCAAGCUUUCUAGCUUGAGUGUGCAGCAAGAGAACUGUGGCAAUUCUGUUGGUCCGAUUGUGUCAGGGAUUCCCUGAAUUUUGAUAUUCAUGCACCUGCUGCGGUUUUCAUUGGCGUCUAGUGUGUUUUGAAAUGCUGUGUUUGCAGACUGUAAGUGUUGCAGGGUGUCCAUCGUGCUUUGUACCUCUUGUCUGAGGUCUAAUAUGUCCUCUUCAGAGGCCUGUACCUGUUCUGUCACUGCCUGCAUUUUUGUUCUCACAAGGUUUAUGUCAGCAUCAAACAUCUGCUUAAUUUCUUGCAGUAGGUGCCUGAUAUCAUUUUUGGUCGCUGGGGCUGAGUCAUCCCAUUCUGCUUGUGGGCUGCUGGGGGACUCUGAUCACCGGUCUGUUCUGUUUACCUCUAACAGCUGUUCUGAGCAUAUGGAGCCAGUCUUAGGGUCCUAUUCAGCCGACAUCUUGCGGCUUGAAUGUCUUGCAGUAGGGCCCCUAUAUCUCGGGAGUCCUUGGGUGUACCUGCUGUUCCUCGGCUGUUGGGACCAGUCAUCUAGGCCCGGGAAGAACGACGCGGGUAGUUGCGACACCAGUGGGAGGGUGACAUAGACCCGAUAUUUGCGUCGUUUUUUUGCCCGUUUGUGCAUCCAAAAAGGGAAUAGGUGGAAAGCCCUCUGAGUCCUGAAGCCGUGGCUGUAGGUCUUACGGGUGAUGGUCACCUGUCCCUGUGAUAUUUGGAGGAUUGCCCAUUAAUGCUGGGGAGCCGUGGAGAAUGGCGUUCAAUCGGCUCCAUGGUUAAGCACCACCCCCCUCCAUGCACAAUCGCAAUUUUAAAUUACAAAAAUCACAAAUAUUUUCUCAAAAAAUCUUAGAUUCUUCAUAAUUCAGUCUCUAUACUGGUCCCUGUUUUUAUGUGUGUGCAAAAAAUAUUUGCAGUAGUUUAGAGCAUUAUUUUUUCCAGAGGGAAGGUUGUAAGCCAAAAAUAUGGGAAAAAGUAGUGUCUCUAUAAUUAUGUCAUAGGUUUUAGUUCUGCAUGACCUCUGCCACCUUAUUGGUAGUUGUUUGGAAAAGCUUACUUGAGAGCAUCUAUGCAUGGCAUAAACUGGGGCUGGUUUGGAACUUGCCCUGUUUCAGCAGGUUUUGCACAUGCCUAGUGUCCUUCUAGAAGUAAUUUGUUGCCAUUCGGGCAGCAGAACCAGUUGCCCAUGAGUGAAAGCAUGCUAUUGGCCUCUGUAUUCAGGGGCCAUCAUCGGCUGAUAGCAUGAGGGGCUGAGGCUAUAGUGCCCACUAGAGAGAGAAGCAAGAAGCCAUCUUAGAAGCUCACAGGGUGAGCUCAACAGCAGCAUCUCCUGGCCUCUGCCAAAUGUAAGUGUUUAAUAUUAUCUUUUUAUUUCCCCCAAUAGCCUUAGUGACUGCCUGAGUGCUGAUUAAGCAAGGAAAUUUACUCAAAUAUAUAAUUAAUAUAAAAAAUGUUGUGCCCAGCUUGUUUUAUUGUAUGAGUAUCUUUGUUAUUCUCAGCUCUCUGUAUUCUAUGAGUAUCUCUGUACUGUAGAGGGAGGAAAAUAAAAUUGCGGGGGAGGAGUCUGGUGCCCCACCAUCUUAAAGCUUCACCAGCGGUCACCGCUUUGACAAAACUAAAGCAUAGCUACAUUGUGCUAAAAAGGGCUAAGGAAUACAGGGGCGUUCAUGGGAGUUUAUUUAAAUAAAAGUUAUAUGUUUAAAUAUUUUCAAAGACAUAUUAAAUUACAACCUGUCAGGAAUAAAAAGAAAGUUAAUGAUUAGAAUAUAUAAAAGGACAUAAAAUUCUCUUUUCAUAAUGCUAGAAUGAAAUAUACAAAUAUGAAUGCUAUUUAUGCUCAGAAAAUAUCCUAUAUUUGUCUUUUUUUUUUUUAAUUAUGCCUGAAGAGUAUAGGGACAUUUGUGAAAAGGUAACAGUUUCCAAUUCUUCCCAAGGAGUUGUUAUACAGCUCAUCAAGAAGGAGGGGUGUUGCGCAUCCUAUUCUGCAGUAGGAUCUGAAAGCCAAUUGUGCCACAUUUUGCUGACCCCUGAGUUGGGCUAUCCCAGGAUAACAUUACAGGAUUAGCAUUAGGAGACCAUUUACAGUGUCUCAGCAUUCACGUAUAGAGGUAAGGAACUUUGAUUUACGGCACUUCAAGGCUUACUUCUUAUGAGGAAAUCCAGUGUUUUUGUAAUUCUUGUAUCAGGUUUUCAGCCAGUAAUACUUUGUGAAGAUAUAAUUUUUGUUUAGUUGUUCCAAUGUUUCUCUCUUUUAACCUCUCCUUUUCUCCUUCUGUCUACCCAUUCCUGUCUAUCUCAUUUUAUCCUCAUCUUCUGAUUGAAUAUGUCUCACUUCAAGCAUUACAUCCCGUCAUACCUCUCUGUCCCUAAAACAUGUCUCAUAUUUCCUUCGGAGCAGAAGGUAUCUCCAGGAGCCUGUUUCAGUUGUUCUAAUUAAGCUAGUCUUAAUAGUUCUUUAUUUGGUGUCACAUUUUCCUUUGACUUGCUCUGGCAUUCUUAUGUCUUCUCAGUGGUGUCACUAGCGGGGCACGAUGGGUGCGGACCAUACCUGACAUUCUCCAGGGGGUGACACCACUAGGGAGGAACUUCUCCUACUCUAGUAGUCCUCCUGGUGUCACUUCACUUGAGGGUGCAAUGGCAGCCAUAGCGCAAUAGAUCCCUCGAUGAUCCGACACAUCGCUGCAGGGAGGACAGGCACUGUGACAGGCAGCCUGGCAGAGGAGGAAGAAGAAGAAUCUGGCAUGCAGGUUUUUGUAGUAUACUGGGCAACCUGAGUAACUAUAUUCUGGUGGUCUCUUCUGUAGUAUGCCGCUUUUUCUGUCCCUGCCUGUCCCACUGGGCCCUAAGGUGAGGAGUCCUCUUGAGAAACUUGCCAUCGGUCGCUGCACAUUACUAUAGUACAUUUCUAUAACGUUAUUUAUAAGUGCACAGUGCAGACUUUAUUUUAUACUUUCCUGCCUUAACUUCAGUGGGUGCACGUGUGUCUGUAUGACCGUGUCUCUGUAAGAGUUUGUUCAUGUGCCUGGUUGACUGUAUGUCAGUAUGUGUGUAUAUAUGUGUCUGUAUGAAUUUCUGUAUAACUAUGUCCGCAUGAGUGUGUAUAUGUCUGUCUAUAUUCAGAGGCGGCUCUAGACUUUAUGAGGCCUUAGGCGAAACUCAAACAUGAGGCCCCACUAACAAAAAAGUGUCACAUAUACACAUUGAGUCACUGUCUACAUGUGUAUGUGCCAGAGAGUGUGUCUGACAGAGAGUAUCCUUGUGUGUGUGAAUGUAUGUCUCUGUGAGCAUGUUUGCGUUUUUGUCUGAGACCGUAUGUGUAUGGGGUAGCUGCUUGAAGUGUGUUGUGUGUAUGGGGGGGUGAUGGUGAGAGGGAGGGGGGGGUGUUGAGAGGGAGAGGCGAAGCAAUGUGAGAAGGAGAGGGGGAUGUGAGAAGGAGGGGGGUGAUGUGAGAAGGGGAUGGAGGGGGGUGAAGUGAGAAGGAGGGGUGAUGAGAAGGGAGGGGGUGAUGUGAGAAUGAGGGGGGUGAUGAGAGAAUGGAGGGUGAUGUGGAGAAGGAGGGGGGGUGAUGGGAGAAGGAGGGGAUGAUGUGAGAAGGAGGGGGGUUGAUGUAGAUGUUGAGGGAGGGGGGUUGAUGGUGAAGGGCUGAUGCUGAGGGUGGUGAUGCUGAGGGUGGUGGGGGGGGGGGGGGGGGGGGGGGGGGGGGGGGGGGGGGGGGGGGGGGGGGGGGGGGGGGGGGGGGGGGGGGGGGGGGGGGGGAGGGGUGUGGAGGCUGAGGGUGGUGAGGCUGUGGUGAGUGCUCUGAGGGUGGUGGGUGGUGAUACUGAUGGUGGUGGGAGUGGUGAGGGCUGAGGGUGGUGGGGAGGCUGAGGGGUGGUGGGGGUGGUGAGGCUCAGGGUGGUGGGUGGUAGUGAUGCUGAGGUUGGUGGGGGUGGUGAGGCUGAGGGUGGUGGUGAGGCUGAGGGUGGUGGGGGGUGAAGCUGAGGGUGGUGAGGGGGGUUGUGAGGCUGAGGGUGGUUGGGAGACUGAGGGUGGUGGUGAGGCUGAGUGUGGUGGGGGGGUGGUGUGGCUGAGGGUGGUGGUGAGGCUGGGGGGGUGAGGCUGAGGGUGGUGGGGCUGAGGGUGGGGUGGUAGGGGGUGAGAGAGCCUACCUUUACUCCCUGGUGGUCCAGUGGGUUCCCUGGUGGUCCGGUGGCCAUUGCUUCCGAUCUGCAGCUCCGCAGAGCUGCAGACCAUGUAAUCUCACGGGACCAUCAGAGCGUUGCCGUGGUAACCCGCGGCAACGCUCUGAUUGGCCGGUUUUCGCGAGACACAUGAUCUGACUGCAGCUCUGCUCACUGUGGAGCUGCAGAAUGGUGUCUGCGGUGGCUGGCCGGGCAGCCAGGAGGGGCCUCGCACCCGACGGCAUACCGGGCAAGCUGCUGGGCCCCCUCCUGGUGUCAGGACCUGACACAGUCUGCCCACAGGUGGUUUAGGCAGCCGUGAGGCCCUAACCAGGGCAAGGUAUUAGGCGGCCACCUUAACCGCCUAAUUAGAGAGCCGCCUCUGUCUAUAUUACUAUGUUUCAGUAUGAGUGUGUGUCUGCAUGAGUGUGUAUAUGCCUCUGUGAUGAUGUGUCUCUAUUUGAGAGUCAUAGACAGACACACACACUUAUAUAGACACAGGUCAACCAGUGUCUGUAUGAGAGUGUUUAUGUGUUUCUUUAUAUGUCUUUUGUGUAAGUGUCUGUAUGUCUUUGUAUGUGAGUGUAUGAAUGUGUGUAUAUGUGUUUGUAUAACUCUGUGGGGGAUAUUUAAUUGUUCUGAAAAUGGCAUAUAUUAAAAAAUUAUGAUUAGCAUGCAAAAGAAACAACAGAUAAGAAAACCCUAUUACUAAAUUAACUUUUUUUUUUAUUUAGGAACACACAACCCCCACACACACUCAGCUUCUCACACACAGCCACCAUACACAAUCACACUCAGCCAACCACACUCAUAGCACAUUCAGCCAAUCACACAUAGAUCCCACGCACAUCACACUCAUCAACCAACACAGUCAAACACACAGUCAAACACACAUAAUAUCACACUCAAAAUACAGAGGAGGUCUGUAAUACAUUCAUGUACUCUGCACAUAACUGAACAUAAAAAACACAUUACUAAGAGGGUUGAAGUGACACCAUGGGUGACACCAACCAUAGCGAUGCCACUGUGUCUUCCACCAUUAUCCAUAUUAGCAAUGGAACCUGUUCUCAUUGUUGGUGUUGUCGAUGCUUAGAUAGUAAUGUUGUCCUUUGCUGGGCUCAUACAAAUUCUAAAGCUUAAUAUUGUGUAGCCACCAUUACACACAAAGACCCCAUACCUAACAAACCUUUGCUAGGCAUCGUGUGUAUGCCUAUAUCUUGAAAAAAAUAACAAUUGAGAUUCCUUUACCAAACCGGAGUGAAAGAACUAUACCCUCCAGUAUAACAUUUACAGUAGUGCUUUUGGAAUAAAAAUUAAGUUCUACAGAUUAAAAAGAAGGAGCAAAAAAAGAUGGCCAUAUGGCUUUUUAAAACAAACUUUUAUCUAACUUACAAAUUUCACCAAACAUGUAAGGGUGCUUUAAACGGCCCUUCAUAAUGCUAAUUCCUUUCUAACAAAUUAAUUGCACAAAGGUUUAACCAUUGUAUUGGAACAUAAUGUAAAUGCUCCAAUUGAAAACUUAAAGGGACACUGUAGGCACCCAGACCACUUCAGCUCAUUGAAGUGGUCUGGGUGCAAACUCCCAUCACCCAUAACCAUGUAGUGUAAUUAUUGCAGUUUUUUUUUUUUUAAACUGCAGUAAUUACCUCUGAGGGUUCACUUCUCCUAUAGUGGCUGUCUACCAGACAGCCACUAGAAGCACUUCCGAAACUGAAACGGAAUUUUUUUCUGUUAUCAGACGCUGGACGUCCUCCCGUUCAGAAUGAGGACUUCCAGCAUCAGAUUUUCCCCAUAGGAAAGCAUUGAAUAAUGCUUUUCUAUGGGGAGAUCCUAAUGCAAGUGCAGCCAUUUCCGCGCAAGCGCAUUAGGUCUCCCUCGCAGGCGGCCGGUGGCAGGGGAGGAGCGUGGGCAGAGCUGAGUCUGACCCAGAUAAGUGACUUAUUAACCCCUUAAGUGCCGGGGGGGGGGGGGCGGGGGGGGGCUUGACAAAGGGGAAAUCUAUAGUGCCAGGAAAACACUUAAAUAACCGAACUAAAUAUAUGUACAUGACUUGGAGUAUUACAUGAAAAUUACAAUUUUUCUCCUAAAAUUUGCAGUUCCCUGUCAAAUUAAACUUGACAACUUCUGUUACCUUUUUUGGUUUUUUUUUUCUAGCAAACUGAUUUAACACUACCGAUAAAUAUAAAUACAUAAAAGUUACUAGAUAUUCCUGAACUCCUCGAUUGAAGGUUAUAUAAACACAGGGCUUCUCCAGCUGAACAAGUUGUCUAAAAUAACCCAUAUGACAUUGAAUUUAUGAGAUAAUGCUAAGAAUCUCCGACCCUGAUAUUGUUGGCCGCGUAACCUAGGCUACCAGAAUAUACCUUGUAAUUGUCAUUUUAGUAUCACAGUUAUAUUCUAUCACGCAUUAUGUAUUGUGUUUUUUUGAGUACUAGACCCAUUUCUCAUCCUAUUUUCACUAUUUUUUCAUUACUUUUUUAAAGUACAUUUAACUUUUUUUUUAUUCUCUUUUUCCUUCGCGUUCUGUUUUUCUUUCCUUCAUUAUCUCCUUUUAUCAGUAGUUGCUUCCCCCUCUCUCUGUCCCCUCUCUCCACAUCUCUUUCUCUUUGGCUGUUUGUCUCUAUCUUGGGGCUAUAACAGCACAUACAGGAUCGAUACACUGACGCUAUUAUUUUUCCAUCAAUGCAAGCAAUCCCAGCCUGAAACUUCAGAGAGAGACACACGAAGGGAUGUAAAUGGCCACAUAGAAGAGCGACACUUACAUCUGAGGAACACUAACGGAGUAUUGACAUGUGCAGAUAACUAAACCAUUCCCACCACGUGUCAGUAACCACUGCUGGGCCAACAUACGAGGUCUAGAGGUCAUAUAGACAUAAUGAAUGUAUCUUUAAUACAGAUUUGGCAAGAAAAGCAACAUUCGCUUGAACGUACUGCCAGAUUAUGCAAUUCUUUGUAUCCAUGUAUACAUUACAAGAAUAAAUUAUAGGUAAAAAUAUUGUUUUACUGUUUAGUGUUCCUAUGGUAACCAGCUGCUAAAAAAAGACUUGAUCUUUAUCUAACCUCAUUCACAAUUAAGCUGUUGUGAAUCGUACAUCCUAUGGGUACAAUUUUAUUGCAUUUGUUUCAACUGCAACAACAACAAAAAAAACAACAACAACAAGAAAACAUAUUGGUUAAAUGAACAGUAUUUAUCAUAAAAAAAAAAGGAUAAAAGAAAUUAGGAAUAUGGACAUAUUUUAUAAGAGAAACUGUAUAUCAAUACAUGGCAGCAGAUUCACAAUGCCUAUAAUUAAUUCUACACAAUAAUCUAUAUUAAUUUUAUAAUGCAUAAUCUUUCCUGGCACAAUUUGUUUUUCAUGUAAGUCAUCGUUCAAUGAAAAUAAAUUAGGAAAAAUACAACAGUUUACAAGCAAUGUAUUAUAAAAAUAAUAUUUGUAUAUUUAAACAGAAGUGCUUUAUUUCUGAAUUGAUCAUUUAGAAUUGAGCAUGGAAGCCACCUUAGCCAGUUUACUAGUAACUUGCUACAAAAAUAAAUUUAAAUCUCAUAAUUAUUGAUAUUGCUUUUAUGUACCAGGAGGGGCAUUCUAAUCAACAUAGCCACUACAGCCCAGCAUAGAUUUACUGAGAGUGCUGGGCCAACACAUUGCAGCCAAUCAAUGUCAUCCAAGUUUGGUGCAAUUUAUUAUUAUUAUUAUUAUUAGCAUUUAUAUAGUGCCAACAGAUUCUUCUGCACUUUACAACAUUAUUAAUAUUAUUGUCAAGCAAACUUUGUGCUCCCAUCUCACACUUAAAUGUUUUGGCAUUUAACCUCUUCUCUGCUAAAACACAUAGAACUAUGCAUUAAAAAUGGCCCCUAUUUUCUUAAGGCAUUAUACAGAUAAUGUAUUUAAAAAAUUUUCACAAAAUUUAAAAAAUAAAUGUAAAAAAUAUAUAUUUUCAGCAGCCACACUGGUCCCCAGGGAAAGGAACCACUCCAACUCUCCCAAAUUUAAUUAUAACGUCAUUUGUGAGUGUGUAAGAUAAUGGGUGUGUCUGUCUGUCUGUCAGUGAAUGUGUAUGUCUGUCAGUAAGUGUAUGUGUCUGUUUGUCUGUCUGUCAGUGACUGUGUGUGUCUGUCAGUGAGUGUGUCUGUCAGAAUGUGUGUGUGUCUCUGUCUGUCAGUGAGUGUGUCCGUGUGUGUGUCAUGGCAGUAUGUGUGUCUGUCAAUUAAUGUGUGUGUAUGUCAGUAGGUGUGUUGGUUUAGGUGACUGCCCCUCAGAUUGCAUGAGAAAGGUGUUUACAUACCUUUUUUUCUCACGCUGUGCCGAUCUUGAUGUGGCUGGCCUUGCCUCCAUGGCUCAAGAUUGAUGAUUUUAGCCAAUCAAAUGCCUUCCCAUAGAAAAGCAUUGGGAAGCUACUGCACAUGCUCAAAAUGCUGCACCAAUCAGCAUCUCUUCAUAGAAUUGCAUUGAAACAAUCUAUCUUUAUAAGGAACGUUUUACGCCUCCAUGCAGAGUGUGCAGCACUGAGAUAAGAAGCACCUUUAGUGGCUGUCUGAGUGAUUGCCACUAAAGGUGUUAAUAAGCAGCAAUGUAAACACUGUCUUUUCUCUGAAAAAGCAGUGUUUACCUUGAAAAGCCUGCAGGUACAGGCUAUAGACUAGAGAACCACUACGUUAAGCUGUAGUGGCUCUGGUGACUAUAGUGUCCCUUUAAGCAAUGUAUUUUUGUAGUUUGAAAAUAAAGUUUUGUUAGUUAACAAAAACCUGGUAGCUAACUUUUUUAGCUGGCUUCUAGAUUCAAAGAAAAUGUGUCAAGCACUGCACGAAGAAGUCAUUCCAUAGCAAAAAAAAGUCUAUUAAAUAGAAAGUCUGCUGGUACAUGCUUCUUUAUGCUUCUAUACAAAGGUAUACAUGUUAAAACUGAGCUUUCCUUUGCUGUUUCAGAAAAUAAAGGUGAUUUACAUGUUGCUUUUAAUGUUUAGCUCCCUUAUGUGCUGAAUGGGAAGUAUAUAUUCUUUUCUUUAAAGGACCGCUAUAGGCACCCAGACCACUUUAGCUCAGUGAAGUCUAGGAUUAACCCUGCCUGCUGAAAACAUAGUUUCAGAAAAACUGCUAUGUUUAAAUAUGGGUUAAUCCAGCUUCUAGUGGCUGUCUCACUGACAGCUACUAGAGGCGCUUCCGCACUUCUCACUGUGAUUUUCACAGUGAGAAGACGCCAGCGUCCAUAGGAAAGCAUUCAGUAACGCUUUAGUAUGGAGUGACUGAAUGCGUGCGCGGCUCUUGCCGCGCAUGCGCAUUCAGCCGAUGACAUCGAAAGGAGGAGGAGCAUCCCCAGUGCAGAGGGAGGCCGGCGCUGGAGAAAGGUAAGUGUUUAACCCCUACCUCCAACUUCAAUCUGGCGGGAGGGGGGCCAUGAUGGUGGGGGGGACCUAUUAAUAUUAUAGUGCCAGGAAAAUGAGUUUGUCUUCCUGGCACUAUAGUGGUCCUUUAAACUUCUGCAUCACACCCAGAAUAUUUAAAGUAUUUCUGCCAAUAGAAAAGCAGUACUCGUGUGAGGAGCCACCAAUUGAUUGAUCCUUAUGGCAGACUUCAAUUUAUUUUUCCUGGCCUAAUCACACAAAACCGUUUUAAUAGCAAAGCUCUAUGAUCACAAUUGGCCCAUGUGUGUACAGAUGAAAAGAGUCAGAGAACCUUUAUGGCUGGUCUAUAUUGUGGAUCCACGUUAACCUUUCCCCCCACCCCCCACAACAGCUGCCUUUAGUAGCUAUUUACAUGUGCGUUCAUCAAUUGUAUAAGUAACAAGAUAUUUUUGAAUUAAUGUUAAUUAUUAGAAUUCAUUAAAAUAAGGUACAAUAAACCUGUUGGUUUUUUUUUCCCUUAAAACAAUUAACAUAUUUUUGAAAACUUCUACAACCCUAAAUCGUUUCACAAAUAAACUACAGAAACAAAAGAAAUAAACUGGGUGCCUGUCGUAACAGGAAGGCACAUACCCUUGGAUUAAUAGAUAGCAACGUGUCCAACGGUAAAUCUGGGAUUGGCAGAAACAUAUAAAACAGAUUAAAAAGAAGCACCAGUGGCUUGUAAUGGACAAUUCUGAGUGGAGCGGAAUGCGCAUGCAUGGCAAGAGCCUCGCGCGCAUUCAAACAGUCCACAGGGAAGCAUUUCUCAAUGCUUUUAUAUCGACGUUCUGCACGCUGGAUGUGAUUUUCGCAUCCAGCAUCGCAGGAGCGCCUCUAGCGGCUGUCAGGAGGACAGCCACUAGAGGUUGGAUUAACCCUGCAAUGUAAACAUAGCAGUUUCUCUAAAACUGCUAUGUUUACAUCUGAAGGGUUAAAAGCUGGGGGACCUGGCACCCAGACCACUUCAUUGAGCUGAAGUGGUCUGGGUGACUAUAGUGUCCCUUUAACACUCUUUUGAACUUGGCCAGUUCUUCACAAUUUUUGGUUUCAUAAAUUCACCCAUCACUGUAGCAAUAGAUAAUCUUAUACUGUGAUAGAAUGAUCACUAGUGAGUUGGUUAAUGACAACAGUCAGUUACCUAUUUCCAAAACGAUAUAUCCACAAAGCAUUUUUGGAUCCUUUUGUGGAGGAAAAAAAAUUGUUUAAUCAAGCAUUUUUUAUCAUUAAUUAUAAUUUAAUGUUUUUGAAAGUUUCCGUUUCAUCCAGUAAAAUUUCCACCUUUGUUACUUAAACUGUCAGAAACAUUAUAGAACACGCUGUGGAGACAGGUGCAAUGUUCUCUGGGAUCUGUAAAUCAAAGGUUCUAAUUUCUGUCAUGUUGUAAGAACAAGACAUCUAUGUUAUUCUAUGGAGGUAAUUCAUCAACAUGUCUAACAUUUCUCCUUGCUUGAUUAAUAUGCACCAAGGAACGACACAAAAAGAUUCUGUAUUUAUCUCAUGUAAGAGAAAUAAGAACUUUUGACAAAGAGACCCCAUUGUGUUCGUUAAAGCACCAUAUUAACAGCUCCCACCUCACUGUAUUAUGCAUGAGAGUAUAUAACCGUGCACAGUAUAAUGCGGAAAAAAAAGGUAAUUUUAAGUAAAAGGGAAAAAAAGCAGCUCAUGCUAUUUAUAGAAUAUAGGAUGAAGUUCAAUUAUUGUGGCACAUGUGGGAGAUGGAGACCAAUUCUUUCAACAGAUGCUCAGUGGCGUCAUAAUCUUCUUAAAUAAAUUUAAAAAAAAAAGAAAAAAUCAGAUGUUGGACUUGAUAAGUCUUAUUGUAUACCCCUUCAUUGCCAGAUGUGUAUGAAAUACAUUGUGCUGUGAAGUAUUCUAUUUAAGGACAUACAUAAGCUUCUCUUCCAAUACUGGCACAUAAAGGGAGUGAAGAUUCCUCAAAUCACAUUCAGUUUUCUUUGCAAGUUAAAGGAACACUACUGGCACCCAGACCACUUUUCAUUUGGGUCCCUGUCUCCUUAACCCUGGAAUGGUAAUUAUUGCAGUUUUUGAGAAACUGCUAGAAUUACCUUGCAGGGUUUAAACUGCCUCUAGUGGCCUCUAAAGACACUGCCUGGUGGUCAGGCGAUUUUUGGUCGUCUAACUCAGUGUUUCCCAACCCAGUCCUCAAGGCACACCUUCUUCUUUGUAAAAACACCUUAGACACAACUGGGUAAUCCCUAAAUCCUGGACUGGUAGGUGUGCCUUGAGGACUGGGUUGGGAAACACUGGUCUAACUGACAAUGAACAUCCUCAUACUCUGCAUGAGGACAUCCAGCAUCAGUCAAUGCCCCACAUGAAAGCAUUGCAGCAAUGCUUUCCUAUAGUAAUGGCCUAAUGUGCUGGUGGCGUCAUGCGCAUAACCCAUGCGCAUUAGCCACCCCCCAUUGGGCGACAUCGGAGUUGGCAGAGCACCAACCGAGCGCCGAGGGACAUCGGUGCUAGAAUCAGGUAAGUACAGUAAAAGUAUUUUAACCCUUACUAUGCAAUUGGAAGAGGCACAAGGGAGAAGUGUGGGGCAUGAGGGAGCUAUAGUAGGUGUCUUUCUCCCAAUCCCUGGUCUGUCUCUCUUUCCCCUUUCACAGCCCCUCUGCGCAGUGUUAAUUUUGGUGGCAAAUUUCAAUUUAGUUUUAGUCAUAGUCUUUUGAGUAAAGAGCCAUUAUAACUUUAGAAGUAUUUUAGUCAUCUGAAUUAGUUUAGUUUUACUCUCGUUUUAGUGGACGAAAUCUCAAAACUUUUAGUUGACUAAAAUUUUACUAAAAUUUUUAGUUGGCACAAUUAACACUGAUUCCUAGCACUAUAGUAUCCCUUUAAAGAGAACUAGUGCAUUUGUUAGAGAGAUGUUUCUUACUGCUUGCAAGGAGGACCCUUGUCACUAGGUCCCUGCACACAGUUGCUUAAUUACAUGCAAGAAUGUAGCAAUAAGCCCACCUCUUCAUUCACUUACAUCACAAGCGGAAGCUGUGUUGUACAUGCUCUUGUAUGGAGUUUGUCCACACGGUCUCCUACACAUUCUGUCUUUCAGUAUAUAUAUUUAAAUUGCAGUUACAAUGUUGAACUAAAUGGUUUGCACAAAUAAAGCAUUUUAGUCGAGCAUAAUGUAGUUAUACAAUUUUGAACUGACAGUACAUUUGUGUGGGCUGGUUUUCAGGAGUUGUCUUCGCUCUUUGGUAAAUCUUAAGCGAAAUUAACCAGUUAAUUAGAACUAAGCAAGAAAGAACAUAAACAAUAUAUAGGAAGAUAUAUUCAUUAAUUACUUUAACAUUUACCAAAAGUCUAUAAAUGGAGCUUGAGACAGAAUCAGCCAGGGUAACAAAGCUAUUAUUAUAGCUAGCAAAUAGAAUAUAUAGUUUGAUUUAAAUAUCUUUAAUCUGUAUAUUUGCUUAUGGUUUAUACAGCACAACAAAUAGAUUAAUUGUCUACCUACCUAAAGGGGACCUGUGAAAUUAGAUGCAGGGGUGUUUCAAAUUUGUGUUGAACCAAUUAUUAGAAGUGUCCAUAAUAUUAAAUAUUUCUAGCUGUAUAAUAUAUGUAAAAACUAUUCCACUCAAAAUAUAAUAAUACAGCUGCUACUGGGAUUAUACCACUUUUUUUUGUAAUCACAUUUUUUUAUUGAGUAGUUGAGCUUGUCAGGCAAAAACAAAAUUACAAUGGUAAAUAAAAUCCCCUACUACAAUUUUUAUAAUAGUUUUCAAGUUAAGUCCAAAGAACAUAAUAUGUACGUAGCAGAGUAAAUGCUGCCGAAGAUUAGUCAGCCAGAGCAAAUGGAGCAUGAGAAUAUAUAAUACAAAUUGAUACAUCGCUUUGAAAUCAAAGUGUCGGGAGAGAGAGAGGCGAAGUAACCACAAGUAAGAAACGCCGAUUAGCGAGAAAGUACAGUUUGACUGCAUCCAAGAAAUCUAUGACAGAUAAAACCAAAGACAUUUGUAAAAGAAAAAAGUUGCUUUAAAAUGACCUCUCUGACCUAGCACAUUCAUUAUGUCAUAGCCCUUGGACUUCAUAGAAUUGUGUGACUGAUUGCCAUCAUUAGCGUUUGCUUUGUCUUUGACAUUGGAAUCCUUUUUGAAAAGGGAAACACUAGGGGGCAGGGCUUGAGCUUCAUGGUGGCCAGAUGCAUCUUCCUGGAGCUCCUCAUCUUCAUGAUUCAAUCAACCAUUUUUCUGUAUACCAGCAAUCUCAGCUAGCACUAAAACAGCCCUACCUGUCGACUGUACCAGCCAGAAUGACCUGGAUCGGUACCACAUGGUGCCAGUCAGCAGAUCUCUUUGGAGAAACUGUGGGGCCUAGUGCAGAGCUGCGCGGGAGAGGCGGCCGCUCUCCCUAGUCGGUGUGGCAUUGACCCUUGCAGAAAUCUUCCACUGUUCCAUCCUCUCUGUCGGUGGGGGUAUCCUGGCCCCCACUGGACUGGACUACCUAAACAUACUUUUCUCCAACUCACAAAGAUGGCAGAAACCUUCUCUCUAAUCAGGGAAAGCCUUAUUCUUCUUCAGACCAUUCAACCCAGGGCAAUCGAUGGAUCCCUCAAAAAGCUGGACGCAAUUUUUGAGAGAUUUUGGGCUGCUGUGGACGUGCAUACAGCUGCAGCACCCCACUUGCCUCUGGGGGGGUGAUCAGUGGAGUGAGCAGCAAGAAGUGAGGGGGCCCCCUCCAGGAUUUAGCAUGCAUGCAAGUGCCAGUCCUUACCACUAUUCUCCCACCUGGGCUGAAGGUCAGUAGGGCUUUGGCCUCAAAGAAUCGCCCACACCGGCAAAGGACUGUCCACUGAAAGUGGCAAGAAACGAGUGCGUCCUUCUGCUCUCCCAUGCAUGGGAAGGCCUUGGACUCUGCGAGUCCCCAAGUCUGUGGCCGAGAGAUGGCAAAUUUACUCAUCAUAUGCCAUACCUCGAUCCCGUUUCACAGCUGCCUUCUGCCACCCUAUUGUGAAUCCCAGAUGCUUCCCGAUUUCUGGAAUCGGAUGAUUGGAGACCCCUCGUUCCCUGAAGGUCACCUGCUUAGGAUUAGAGUUAACAUGCUUUCAGUGGACGCCAUCUUGCUCUUAUGUUUUUAUAUUGCUAUUGGCCUGUUGUCUUUUAACUUAUUUUAGUUUUCUUCCCAGUGGUAAUUUUCAGCCUAUUACCUAUUUCUAUAGCAUGUUAUAAAGUGAUCUUAUUAAUAACCCUUUCUGUACAAUGAGCCUAUACCAUGCUUUUUGUUUCCUACCAUCCUAAUCCUGAAUAGCCAUAUGUACCUACCUGUUAUCUCCCUAAUUUAAAAAAAAAGAGGCAGACUUAACUAGGAGUUUAUUCCCUUGCACUAAUUAGCAAUGCAGUACUCCUGUUUUUCUUCAUGCUAAGCUUGUAUACACGUGUGAAUGUUUGUUAUAACUCUUUUAUAUGUGUGAUCUUAUUCCUCCUUACCCCAAAUAAAAAAAGAGAUUGACAAAAAAUAAAUAAAAGGGAAACACUAUCUACAUCCCAGACAGCUGCAAUUGAAAUCUUUGCGAGUCACUUUUGGAUAAAUCAAUAUCUAGGGCCUAUAAAAGUGCCUGAGAUUGAGAAAAGUCUUGAAGCUUUACCACCAUUCCACCCUUGUUUCCUGUCCAAGAUCUAUGAUAUUUCAUUAAGUGGUCUCUUAAGUAAUAUGUCUUAGAGGCAACCUCCAUUUAAAGGAGAUAAUAUGGCAAAAAGUCAUUGCAAGGGAUGGGAAAUUGUAUGAGGGAUAUCCAUGUCUCUCUUGCUAUUGAGCACUGCUGUUUAACUGUUGCUUUAGUUGAACAAUCACUUUUAAUGACCUCUGUGGCCAGGCGAGGUUUAGCCAGGUGGUAGCUUCCUUUGGUAUAUAAAUAUUCUAUCCCUUCUAGACCAGCACCAGGAAGCGGAGAUCAAUGAUAGGGGUACUGUAGCUGUGCAGUGACAAUCUGUUAAGACUUGUUUUGGAUGCAUGUAAUAUGAAUCUUUCGCCUUAAUCUUUUCUUCAAGUAUCUCUAGAUCCAGUGAUCCAACAAAGAUGCCCUUUGUCUUUGUCUUUAAGGAGCACCUUAAUAUCCACUCUAGAUGAGUAAGUGCCAUUGCUCUAUGUAAGGACUGGUUAUGCGAGCUUCUUCCUUCAGUCCCGAUUCAGUCCAGAGCUCAAAGAAAUUCCAUGGAUUCUUUGUAGACCUACAAUGUCCCAUGUAAUGCAGAUGUUUUAUGCAACUGUACCUGUCGGUUUAUGAUUAUAGUUUAUACAUUAUGAUAGAAUUUUUAAAAAGUUGUAUGUUCCGAAAUACAAUCAGGGUCAUAACAAAUACCUAUAAACAUAAUGAUGUAUGCAUUCUCACUUACCUAUGAUUGAUAUAUCCUAUAUAUCCAACUAUAUGUGACAAAAAUUUAUGUUGCUAAUAUAGGAAACCCUGUCUGAGAUAUGUUAAGAUAAAAGACAUAAAUUGAAUGUUUUAUAUCCCACCAAUUGAUCCUACAAAGGGUGAAGAAGGAGGGAAAAAGUAGACAUAUCUACCUGAACAUCUUGCUCUUUACAACUGCCAACUUCUUCAUCCUGGUGUUCAACACCUGGUGGCUUAAUCUAUUCAGAGUGGAAAAUAAAAUUCUAAGGAAGUUCUGACCAAGCUUCUAUAGAUUUGGUUAAUGACCAACAAGGUGCCAGCAUCUCAAAAGAAGAUGCUUGUUCCCAUCAGCCAUCAUAAGUGAGGAAUUAUUGUGAUAGCGUAAAGUGAUCAGUAUAUUGGAUGGUAAGGGGAUUACAUAGGAGGAGUAUUGUUCUGGGCUGGGGAUGAUGAGGCAAUUACAGGCAUGCAAUAAUGUUACUCGGGCUAAUUAAGGAAUUACAGGGAUUGGGUGAGGUGUUUAUGGGGUAGGCUGUGCGGAUUAAGGGUAUUAGGACAAUGUGAUAAGGAUUGAAGGGAAUAUAGUAUUAUAUUUGUUAGUUGAAGGGUUUGUGGGGAUAUUGGUUAUGAGUGGAUUAGGAAGUCGGGUGAUGUGAUGGUUGGCUGAGGGAUGAGUGGUUAUGUAAUUAUUAUUAACAUUAUGAGUGGGCCAUGAGGGGAUUAAACGGCUGAACUAAUGUGACUGAUGGAGAUUAUGGAGCAGGAGUGAUGAGGUGAGUUGAAUAUUAGAGCCUCCUCUGUCUACCAAUAGCCAUAUUUUGCCAAGGAAAUUGGGUCCAAUAUCAUGUAAACUAAUCCAUAUUUUACUGAAAUUCCAGUGCAAAUUGAGCAAGACUUCAUAAAAAUCCUUGUAAAAAAUAAAUAAAUAAAAAGUGACAUUGGCAUUUUAACUGCAUCAGGUGGUGUUACAUAUGGUCCAUGAGCGUUCUUAUUAUACUUCAUACCUCGCACCAGGGUGUGCGGACCUAAGAGGGGGUAUCACCUAUAAUUGAGCAUGCCCAUUGAAGGACCACAUGGGUCUGUCUGGUUGGCCUCCAUUACACUGCAGUGAUGAUGAUGCCCUUGCUCUGUGAUGCUCAAGAACAAUUCCCUGGUGUCCCCCUACAGGACACCAAACAACUAAAUCGGGACAUUGGGACAGGACUCCAAAAUCAGGACUGUCCUGCCAUAAUUGGGAUUGUUGGGGGGGCCUGCAAUUCUUGUAAUCCAAAAAUAGGAAGAGCUUAGGGUUCCAUGUGAUUUGUUUGCGGUGUACUUUUAGCAUGACUCCAAAAUCUUAGGUCUUCUAAAAGCCAGACUAGAGGUAAUAAAGACUAGAGGUAAUAAAAGAGUUUGCACAAAAAAGCUCCCCUUGCCUUCUAGUUUUAGAGGUUUCACACUGUGGAAGCCUGCACCCAUAGCUCUCCUUCCAAGCUCAGUUUUAGAUGAUGCUGCUCAGUUCAUUAAGAUGCUAAUUGAUAUAAUAAUAUGCCUGAACCCCUGAGUUGACGACACAGCUGGUUGUAGGAGCUAUGAAUAUCUCUGAGUCAGGCUGUGCCGGCUGCGGCUUUAAAACGCACGGUUAACCAUUUCAUAGCUAGUUACCAUUAAAUUCCCUACUAUAGCCUGUAAGAAGUUUAGAUUAGUACAUACAUAUUGUUUAUGAUGCAGAAGAGGCAGGGGCAGACUGAGGAGGUUCUGUGAAGAUGCCAGUAUACAUCACUUCUGUAUUGACAGAAAUGUUGUCAAUCACAAAUCCUUUUACUGUCUAUGAGAAAGGGUGCUAGAAAGUCAUGCAUAACAACUGUUAUAUAAAAAUGAUAAUAGAUUACAAUAACAUCCCAGCGCUGUCUGAGCCUGUCCUGAUAAUCUGCUGCCAGGAUCUCACCCUAUAAUACAUAUAAACCCAGCACUACCUGAGCCUGUCCUGAUAGUCUGCAGCCAGAAACUCACCCUAUAUUACAUAUAAACCCAUCGCUGUGUGAACCUGUCCUGAUAAUCUGCAGCCAGGAGCUCACCUUACAUUACAUAUAAACAAUGCGCUGUCUGAGCCUGUCCUGAUAGUCUGCAGCCAGGAGCUCACCCUAUAUUACAUAUAAACCCAGCGCUGUGUGAGCCUGUCCAGAUAAUCUGCGGCCAGAAACUCACCCUAUAUUACAUAUAAACCCAAUACUGUCUGAGCCUGCCCUGAUAAUCUGCUGCCAGGAUCUCAUUCUAUAUUACAUAUAAACCCAAUACUGUCUGAGCCUGCCCUGAUAAUCUGCUGCCAGGAUCUCAUUCUAUAUUACAUAUAAACCCGGCACUGUCUGAGCCUGUCCUCACCCUACAUUACAUAUAAACCCAGCACUGUUGGAGCCUGUCCUGAUAAGCUGCAGCCAGGAGUUCACCCUACAUUACAUGUAAACCCAGCACUACCUGAGCCUGUCCUGAUAGUCUGCAGCCAGGAGCUCACCCUAUAUUACAUAUAAACCCAUCGCUGUGUGAACCUGUCCUGAUACUCUGCAGCCAGGAGCUCAUCUUACAUUACAUAUAAACGACGCGCUGUCUGAGCCUGUCCUGAUAGUUUGCAGCCAGGAGCUCACCCUAUAUUACAUAUAAACCCAUCGCUGUGUGAGCCUGUCCAAAUAAUCUGCAGCCAGAAACUCACCCUAUAUUACAUAUAAACCCAAUACUGUCUGAGCCUGCCCUGAUAAUCUGCUGCCAGGAUCUCAUCCUACAUUACAUAUAAACCCAGCGCUGUGUGAGCCUGUCCUAGUAGUCUGCAGCCAGGAGCUCACCCUAUAUUACAUAUAAACCAAAUACUGACUGAGCCUGUCCUCACACUACAUUACAUAUAAACCCAGCACUGUCUGAGCCUGUCCUGAUUUUCAGCUGCCACAAGCUCACCCUAUAUUACAUAUAAACUCAGCGCUGUGUGAGCCUGUCCUGCUAAUCUGCAGCCAGGAGCUCACUGUACAUUACAUAUAAACCCAAUACUGUCUAAGCCUGUCCUGAUAAUCUGCAGGCAGGAUCUCACCAUAAAUUAGAUAUGUGCCCAGGACCUUCUCAGACACCCCUCUACCAUCCGCAGCCUCAAAUAAUGUUGCAUGCACACUCCUACAUUUGCUUUACAUACAAUACAAAGAGGUAUUUCAUAUUUAUAAACUCAAUUUACAUACAAUACCCGGUUAUUUACUCACCCAACCCCUUUUACACACAAUAACAUUUUUCUAUGUUUAUAUAAAACUUACACAUGUGUGAGAUACUCCCAUAUCCCUUUUCCUGACCUUUACUGCCAGCUACAAUAAGUAAAAGCCUUCUCAGGUGCAUAUAAACCUGUAAGCACAUGCCUUCUCUAAAUAUAUUGGCAAAAAAAAAAGCCUUUGAAAAGUUUUUAGUUUUAUAAAGCAGAUGAGUUUGGAAUAAAAAGAUACAAUUUGGUACAGAUACAAUACUCUUCCCGAUAACACCCACUAGAUAGAGGUAAACGGUUAAAUCUGUCUUCCUCUCUCACUUUUCUCCUGGUUUUGCUGUGAGAAACAUACGUUGGUAACAGCUUGCUCUGAGCCUGCGUUGGCGAAAUAAACCUUUACUUUUAUAUUAAUUUAAAAUACCAUCAUAUUUGUACGUCAUUUACAAGUCUCAACUGGUAAAGGUACGGAUACUUUGGGCCUUUUCCUCAUUAAUGUACCAGUUUCUAGACACAUGAUGCCAGUCAGUGAUUUCCGCUGUCUCCAGCAUCAGUAAUGCUGUGAACAAUGAAUGUUUGUAGAUUUCGUAUACAAUCCCAUGCCAACGACUAGUCUCGAACAGUACGGAAUACAACCAAACUCACCUUUACGUAUCACACACAGAGAGUUUACAGUAAUUAACAAUUACAUUUCUCAGGAGACAAACUGAAUGAAAGACAUGUGGAAACAAAGAAUAUUUCAUGUGGUCUACCGGAAGCUUUACAAAGUGGCAUUGUCAUUUUACCAAAGAUUAGCAAUGAACACGACAAAGAACUAAUCUAAAACACUUGACAGAUAUCCCUACUAUAAAGAGCCCUCUGUAGGUGCCCUGGCACCCUCUCAGAGUUAUUUGUCAAAUUGUUUAAGAAUGGUUUAUCAAGUUUCUUAAAGGGACACUCCAGGCACCCAGACCACUUCUGCCCAUUGGAGUGGUCUGGGUGCCAACUCCCACUACCCUUAACCCUGCAAGUGUAAUCAUUGCAGCACUUUUGGAGAUUUGUCUUGACCAUUUUGACCCUGAGGAAGUUCAGUUAUCUGAACGAAACGCCAAGGGCUUGUUUUUUAGUACUUAGAGUUUCUUUAUUUUGUUCCUUUUGUUUUUUAGGCUCAUUCACCUUUUAUUGGAAACUACCGAAUAAACUGCUGAACGGCCGACCACCCUGUCUGUGGAGUGUUCUGCUUAUUAGCCCCCUAGAAGCUGCAGUUAACCGGCGUCCGUUUGCCUAACGCGUGGCGGCGGCCAUUUUAAAUCGCUGAAUGGUAGUUUGUCGUCGAUGCUCUGGAACUAUUUUCGGACACUUAUUUAGACGAACGCCACUGAAGCUCACCAACCUCCAUCCCAUUAGUUUAUUUAGGCACGAACACUAAACCGUUCGGGACUUUCAACAUACGAAAGAGACCAACCCCAGAUAGCUGGAAGCACGGAGCUGUUUUCGGAUACAUUUUGCAAAAACAGCCGGUGAACUAAAACUUUGACUAGAUGGCAUUUCAACUGUUUUCUCGGGAUCUGAGCGCUAUUUGGCUAUAUUGUGCGCUCAGAUCCGAGCUAUCUGGGGGUGCGUUGGACAUGGGGACUCUAUUCGGCAAAAUAUGAGUUAUGGAUUUUUAUACAGUUUUGUUAAAAUGUAAAACCGAAAUGUUUCUCUCUACCUGGAGAAAAUUAGGUUUUCUCCAACCACUUAAGCCAAUUAUCUCCAGAAUAGAGAGGUGUGGUUUUACUGUUACUGUGGGUGUGUUUAAUAAUUGUACUGUACACAAGGCCGUCUAUAAUAUGAAUAGGACCCUGGGCAAAUAAUUUUGUUGGGCCCCUGGGGCCCUGCAGCCCUCCCAAUCCCCCCUCGCCCCCAAUUACACCCAACCCCCAAUCACACUGACAUACUGACACAUACACACACAGACAGACAUAUUAAAACAUUCACAGAUACAUACUAACACACACAUACACUGACACACAAAUAUAUACUGGCAGACAUAUUGACACACAUUCAGACAUACUGACACACACAUAUAUACACACACAGACACAUACACUGACAGAUAUACUGACACACACAGACACUGAUAGAAAUACUGACACACACACAGACAGACGUAUUGACACACACAGACAUGCUGACACACAUAGGCAUACUGACAUACACACAGACACACUGACACACACACAGGCAUACUGACAUACACACAGGCAGACUUACUGACACACACACACAGACACAUACACUGACAAACAUACUGACACACACACAGACACAUAAACUGACAGAAAUACUGACACACACACAUACGCUGAGAGAAGUAUUGACACACACAGACAUGCUGACACACACAGGCACACACAGGCAUACUGAUAUACACACACUGACACACAGACAGACACACAGACAGACAUACUGACACACACACAUACAUACUGACACACACACAAACAUACUGACAAACACACAGACAUACUGACAAACACACAGACAUACUGACACACACACACAGACAGAUAUUUGACACACACAGGCAUACUGACAUACACACAGACAGACAUACUGACAUACACACAGACAUACUGACACACACACAGACACACAUACACUGACAGACUAUUGACACACACACAGACAUGCUGACACACACAGGCAUACUGACAUAACACACAGACAUACUGACACACACACUCACAGACAUACUGACACACACAGACAUACUGACAUACACACAGACAGACAUACUGUCUGACACACACAGACAUACUGACAUACAUUUAGCCACCCUCCAACCACCCUUACCUUUUCUGGAGAGUGGUUUCCCUGGGGUCCAAUGGCAGGCUGAGGCAGUUGGGAGUUAUCCUCUGAAACUCCCCUCCUCCCUGCUUUCCUCCUCCCGCGCGGCUCUGAUCUCCGGUAGGAGGAAGUGACGCGCGACACUCACUUCCUCCCAGCCGGCUGCCAAACAGGAAGGGGCCCGGUGACGCUGUUUAAGCGUCACAGCGCCCGACCGGGCCCCAGCUGACAAAUGCCCACCGGAUGGCCCUUAGUGCAUGGGCCACCCGGGGGCCCUCUUUAGCGUGUGGGACAGAGCCGCACCGCCGGAUCCAAGGGGGGCUGCGCAAAUCGCGGGGGCCCGCAGGGCAGCUGCUCUGGGGCCCCCCAGGAGCAACUGGGCCCGGGGCAGCUGCCCCAUUUGCCCCGCGCUAAAGACGGCCCUGACUGUACACUGAUUGGUUCUGUAUUUUGUGUCACAGUUUCCCACAAGGUCCUUUGUGAGAGUUCCCUUGCUGUGAGACCAUCAUAAAAGGCUGAGUUUGGCCAGCAUUAAACCAGAUCGUUUUACCCCUUCAUGAAGUCUCGACUCAUGUUUUGGGGAUUGGGAGCUAUAAUCACUGCUGUGCUCUACUUCAGCUGGGAUUUCAGGAGAAGCUACAAGGAUCAGCUCUGCAGGGAUAGCAGGAUCCUUUACAAAAAGUAAAUCAUGCUAGGGAACAAUCCUUACAUGUAUGUACUCAAUGGCUUAAAUGAACUGGAACACCAAGAUAGCUAGCAAAAUUGCGAGUUUGCUUGAAAUGUACAACUGUGUGGGUUAACGUAUAACGAGAGACAAAGAACCUUUCCAUGCCAAUGGUCACGCUGCUACAAUGUCAUGUAACCAACAUUUAAGCUUUAAGACAAGGGAAAUAAACAAAAUAAGAAAUUAAAAUUUGAAAAUUAAAUCAUGAUGGUGUUCCUGUAAGACAUAUCAUUAUGGGAUGGGCAUGCGACCUGGACAAACCGAGGCCAACUUUAAGCUGCUAAGGAGAAGGCCUAGAGCUACAACUUCUACUAUGUGCACCAUCAGCAUUCAUCUGAUACCCAAAUGUGUCUUCGAUCCCCCAAGCCAGACAUAAUUCCAGUGAGCCAAAGCAAUCUACUCUGCCAGCCCCAGGCCUCAAAAAAGACCUCAUAUGCGAUCCCCACUGACCCAUUUGCUCUGGGCACCGUGAACAAUGGGAAGCUUCGCGUCGAGUGCAUGUUUUCUCAGGAGGUGUGAGACAAGCACCAGGGACAGCCCCCUCACUGCCCUCAGCCUGGUAACACAGUUGCAGGUAACGGCUACAAUGACGGUCACGCCAGAGGUGGGAGAUCGAGGCAUUUUAUUUCGUAGUUGCAGGUUUGAAGUUGUGGGUACCGCCAGCCUCAGCCAAAUAGCCUUAAAGAUGCAGUCUAACCACUCCAUGAGUGAUACCUUUGGGUCUCACGUGGCAGCAGUAUCAGGUGUGUCCGCCAUCUUGUCCAGACCUUACAUAGGUAGGGGGUGUGCAGUGUCCCUUUUAACACUGCAAUGUAAAACAUUGCAGUUUUUUUUUUUAGAAACUGCAAUGUUUACAUUGCAGGGUUAAAGGACCACUAUAGGCACCCAGACCACUUCAGCUUAAUGAAGUGGUCUGGGUGCCUGGUCCAGCUAGGAUUAACCCUUUUUUCUGUAAACAUAGCGGUUUCAGAGAAACUGCUAUGUUUACCUAUGGGUUAAUCCAGCCUCUAGUGGCUGUCUCAUUGACAGCCGCUAGAGGGCUUCCGCGCUUCCCACUGUGAUUUUCACAGUGAGAAGACUCCAGCUUCCAUAGGAAAGCAUUGUGAAUGCUUUCCUAUGGACUGGCUGAAUGUGCGCGCAGCUCCUGCCGCGCAUGCGCAUUCAGCCGAAGAGGAGGAGGAGAGCUCCCCGCUCGGCGCUGGAGAAAGAGGUAAGUUUAACCCCUUCCUCCCCCUAGAGCCCGGCGGGAGGGGGACCCUGAGGGUGGGGGCACCCUCAGGGCAGUAAAGUGCCAGGAAAACUAGUAUGUUUUCCUGGCACAAUAGUGGUCCUUUAAGUCCACCUCUAGUGGGUGUCUGUAUGAUAGUGGGUGUCUGUAUGAUCGCCACUAGAGGCGCUUCCAUUGCAGUGACUGAGUAAAACGUAUUAAUAUGAUGCGGAAGCCGCCAUAGAAAGACAUUAAUUCAGCAGAGAGCAUUGGAUUGGACAUCAGCAGAGGAGACCAUGUCUCCUUUGUCACAUUGCAGGAGGUGGAGAAGUAAGUAGCGCAGUGGGAGCUUCGGCGCUGGAAAAAAGUAAGUAAAAUAUUUUUAUUGCAAACAGGGGUGGGGGCUUAUUUCUGACUAAGGAGAGGAACACUAUAGCGGGUUAAUAUUAGUGUUACAUUAAAUAAUAUUUUUAAUGUGCCAUAUAACUGCUACUAUUAGCUGGCAUUAUCUAAUGUAUCUUCAUUUCGAUCCUGGUUUGUACUCAGCCCUCACUAUUUAAUUGCAACGUAUUUAGAAAUCUAUCCCAGCUUCUCUAUUAUACACUGGUUAUUUCCAGAUGAAUGUAAAUUUUCAAACACAUAAGAAAUUGAUGUAUUUUUUUUAUUCGGGGCAGCUUAGUGUGAUUUAAAAUGUAUUUAUAGGGUUACUCUUGACAGGAAGGCUUUUCUACAAACAAACAAAAUGAAAUCCUUUAUUUGUCCUGCAUCUGGCAGGGAAUGAGCUUCUGUGUAUUAUCAAUUUAAAUGGAUCUUUUGGAAAGAAUUUGUUAAAUACACUUAUUUGUUUCCAGAUCAGAAACGUGUUUUUCCCACAUUUCGGUCAAUUCUCUGAUAAUCCCGCUAAACUAAAAUAUAUAAAUAUAUAUUUCUGGAUGUCUUAAAAGUUGUGUAAUAAUAAAAAGUUGAAAACAGAUUUAACAUUUUCUAAAAAUGUUUUAUAAUAAUAAAAAAGUUGAAAACAGAUUUCAGAAGCAUCAAAAUGUCAACAGAAGACAAUUGUCACUCUAAGUUUGCUCAGAGUUUGAUGGUUUACUCGCAGUUGUGCCAUUAUUGUAAUGUUUAGAUGGCCUGCUGACCCUAUAUCAACUUCCCACACUUGGCAUCAUCCACUCACAAUGGUCUAUCUUCCAGAAAAAGAGAUAUAUCACCCACUCCCAUCACCAGAGUUGAUGCCAAGCCCUCUACCUAUGCCUCAUUUAGUGGCACCAAAAUACUAUGAGCUACAUAGUUCCAUCUGGUGGUGAUAGAAGCAAAGAAUGGGAUGGCAGUUAAGAACCAUUCGGCCCAUCUAGUCUGCCAAAUUUUCUAAAUACUUUCAUUAGUCCCUAGCCUUAUCUUAAAUCUAGGCUAGCCUUAUGCCUAUCCCAUGCUUACUUAAACUCCCUCACUAUGUUAACCUCUAACACUUCAGCUGGAAGGCUACUCCAUGCAUCCACUACCCUCUCAGUAAAGUAAUACUUCCUGAUAUUAUUUUUAAACCUUUGCCCCUCUAAUUAAAGACUAUGUCCUCUUGUUGUGGUAGUUUUUCUUCUUGUUUUUGUGUCAUUCUUUGUUUUAUUUAGAUAUAUUGCAAAAAAAAUGCAAAUCGUCACAAAUUAAACAUGCAUGCCUAGUCCUAGUUGGUAUAGUGAGCUUGCAAUCGAGUAAGAUGGCUAGACACAUGGCUAACUUAGAAUAAAGGGGUGUUAAGAAAACAUGCUUGUGAGUCAUGUGGACAACCUAGGUUAGAUAUGACUGGGAACUGGCCACUGUGUGGGCAGGCAGAGCAGGUGGAACUCAAAACUGGUGUGUAAUUUGCAUGAGGGGAAAUUACACUGGCAAUAAGCCUUUGAGCCUAGCAUUCUAGAAAGUGGUAUUGCACUGUAUAAGAGUAAAAAAGAAAUAUAAUGGAUAAUUACAAGAAAAACAUAAGGAACGCAGAGACAUCAACUAUAGGCUUAGGAGGCACAGACAGAAGCAGUAUUGUGUCCAUCAUUAGUAGAGAGAGCGCUGAAUGAAAAUAAUAGAGCUGUCCAAGUAGGCAAAAACCCUUUCCAGCCAUGGAAAAGGGCAUCAACCAGAUAUCCAGCCUGACUCAUGAAGAGAGUGAGACAAGGCCACCUUCCAGCCUCAGGCCUGUACGGAGGCCAAUAUCUUGUAACCAUGGACUCUGUACCUCUGGGAGUCCACGUUCUGCCUAUAUUUGUGGUAGCAGUGUCACGUAUUAUUCGUCACCAUGUGUCAAAAACGGAGAUAAUUACCUUCUGAAGAUAGAGGGCAGUGCCGCUCGGUGGUCUUCUGCUAUCAUGCCUGGCUUUUGCAGCAUGUCGUUUGACGCCGGCUUCUGCGGACCCAUGCAAUUAUAUAGCCCCAUGUCCAUCCACGGUAAAGACAACGUUGAUGUACGGGUGACGUCAGGCAAAAGAUGAACACGCACGUUUUGGGGUCAAGGGCUUGGUACAGCCAAUCGGAUCUGCAAAGGGGUUAUUUAAACUUUCAUAUUCACUUAGCUCAUUGCCCUGUCAUGGUUUCCCCUAGAUGGUUAUCCGAGAGUGUGUUCCUGAUUGUGUUUUUCUGGUUUUUGACUUCGUUUUGACUUCAAUGAUUUCUGGUACCCUUGACUUUUGACUUUUCCUUAUCACUGUGUAUCGUUCUGUGUCCCUGACCUUGGCUAGUUUUCAGACUAUUCUCGGGUACGUUAAGUCAAGGUGUGUUUGUCAGAGAUGCAGUCUGUGUGUGUGAGGGGUGCAUUGUGUGAGGGGUGCAGUGUGUCUGGGGGGCCCUAAGGUGGACAGCCGGUCAGCUCUUGGACGCCCCAUGAAAGAGGCUAACAAGGCAACUGUCAUGGCGCUUGGGGGGGGGCAACUUUUUAGCUGCCCCCCUCAAAGUGCUGCCCAAGGCAAAUGCCUUGUUAGCCUUGUGGAAAAUACAUCGCUGGGUGUGUGUGUGAGGGGUGUAGUGAAUUUGUGAGAUUUGUGAGGAGUGCAGUGUGAGGAGUGCAGUAUGUGUGUUUGAUGGGUGCAAUGUUUGAAAGUGCUAGAAGGCUUAAAUUGUGUGUGUGUGGGGGGGGGGGUGCAUUAUUAUUGAAUUUUUAAACAAUACUAAUAAACGUUAUAUAUACCCUCCACUACAUCCUUAACUUUACUCAGGGAGGGGGACAUUUCCUGCAAGCCCUGGUGGGAAGUGAACUCUUGUCACGGCUCCUCCUCCUCAGAAAUUCAGCCUCUGUGCAUUGCCAUGGUAACUGCAGCAACUUCACGAAAAGAAGAACACGGAGGAGCUGCAGGCUAGAGCUCCCGGGUCUUCUCCCUUUUUCUUCCUCUGCCAGGUGCCGCAGUAAAGUGCCAGUGGACCCGGUGAGGGAGAUCUUUGAUCUCCACACUGGACGGUCAUGGCACACCGCAUAGCCAACGCUUUGAUAGUGCCAGCUCCUCUGAUUUCCCCUGUUGGCCACGGUCCAUGGCCAUUUAGGUCCACCAGGCAUUUGCACAGUUUGCCCGAUGGCUAGGUCGGGCCUGGUUGCAGAUGGUGAAAUUUUAAGAUGGUGAGGCACAAGACUACACUCACAGUAUUUUACUAUAACCCUUCUCUCUUGAAACCCCACCCCCUGGUAUAUUGGACUCAUUGAAUAUGAAAAUAGCUUACAAAAAAAAAAAACACAACAACAACAAAACCACAACAACAAAAAAACACUUUCUUAUACUUGACUGCAGGAGAUAUUACCAGCACAUUGCAAAGAAAUUGUGUGUAGAACAUUGCUUAGCCUAAUGAGUUACACUAUUAUAAUAAUAAUAAUAAUAAUAAUAACAACAAAGUAUGUAACCAGAAAAGAUACAUUCAGAUUACUCUGUUUUUCAAGUACGUCCUAUGUAAUACAAAUAAUUAUGCUAAAAUAUGAAAUUAUUACAAUUAUCACACAGAAAAAUAAAUUUUAUUAAAAAAAAGACUUGACAAUACAGGAUAAUACAAUAAUGGGACUGUACCUGGAAAUCUGGCAUAGUCUGGCAGCAGUAACAAAAUUAAUAAACCCCUUCCUUCUCCUGACAGAGGUCCCUAGUGCUACCUUUUGUUGGAGAGGGGCUACCUCUCCAGACAAUUAAACUCUAAUUUACCAAAAUUGUCCCCACUUCAGCUCUAUAGUCACUCAACAUCCCCAUGCCAGUCCUCCAUCCUCUCCAAAGCAAAUUUAGACAGACACAUUUACCUGCAAUUAACCGUCUUCCUGCACAAAUUAGAUUUUGUCACAAGUGCCUGCCUACGAACCCUCUCUAUUUCCAUGUUAGAUUUGCCACAUUUGCCUGCCAAAUAACCAUCUCACUUCCCAAUUUAGAUUGGCCCAUUCCUCUUCCUAUUAACCACUUCCUUAUCCCAAAAAUAGAUCAUCUCCUUCUUCUUGCUACACACACACACACUGUGAAAGGACCCUAUUCUGGUUCCUAAAGAAUUGAUCCCUAACAUAAAUCUGCCCUCACUGCCUGGCAGACCUCUCCUGGCCCAACUAGUGGCUCAGGACACCACAAAAUGUUUAGACCCACAUUCACACACCAUGCAGCUCCCAGACAGAUACAACACAUGUUUGAAAUUUGGCAGACAAAUUAAAUUAAUUUGAUAAAUGAAAGUACCAAGGUUAAGGUAGCAAAUAACAUUUACCACCCUUUACAGCCAGACAACAAGCACUCCUCUUCCCUUUCUUCUGAAAGGCAGAUAGACUCUCAGCCACCAAAGGGGAUGGCUUUUUCCUGUGCCGCAUAUCAGAGGCCACUCCCAGGGCAAACUGAGAACUAGAUUGGGGCAGCAACUAGAUCAGAAUUCUAUACUUCCUGCUGCUCAUGGGACCUUGCCUGAGAGUAAUAAAAAAGCCUGGGUCUGGUCUUACGUCCCCUCACCUUACCUGACCCUCAGCUCUCUGCUGGAGUCCCUGCUCUACCUUCUCUGAUGGGUAGCCAAGAAUGGGCCCUAAACUCUGGUGGGCACCAGUGCCAUUGUACCUGCUGCACCUGCAGUAGUUCUGCCCCUGUGUGGCAGCAAGGAUACAUUUCCAGAAAGCGCAAAGUGCUGUGGUUUGAGGAAGAAUUUAUGUUUCCCUUUAUAAGGGAGACAUUUACAGAAAAUACACAGUGUUUCCAUAGGAUUACAAAGUCACAGCAGAACACAUCAUACUAGUUUUAAAACUGAGUUCCACUGUAGCCUAGUGGUUAUGGUCUCUGCCCUUUGUGCUGCCAACCUGGUUUAAAAUUUUGUUGGGUACAACACCUCUCCACAUCAGAAUUAAACUCACAACCUUUGCGUUACAAACUGAGUGCAAUACCAUUAGGCUACCUUGUAAGUAAUGAUAUUAAAUUAGAUUUUCAGACUUUUGAACUAUCAUACACUUGAAAUUAAAUUCUGACAAUUUACUGGGGGUUAAGUAGGGAACUUCAAAAAUAACCUCUAGGGGCAUACUGAUCAUAUCUGAGAUGUUCUCUGACUGGACAGCCUAUAUCUUACACAUGUCCAGUUGUCUUCAACAGCUUAUGCAGACAACCAUCCUUCAUCAUCAGUGAGUCAGACUAUGGUGAUACCCUUUAACCCCUUAAGGACACAUGACAUGUGUGACAUGUCAUGAUUCCCUUUUAUUCCAGAAGUUUGGCUCUUAAGGGGUUAAAGGGACACUCCAGACCACUAAAGCACUUUAGCUUGCUGAAAAGUUUUAUGUGUGAAGAGUGGGUCUGUUUUUUUUGUUGUUUUUUUUCAUUUUUCAAAAAUUGCAGAGUUCAAUAGAAAUUGACACUUUUAUAAAUUAAUCUGGUUACAUCCCCUGGCCUUUAAGCACACAAUUGGUCACGUUACUUCCUGGUUUGGUUAGCACAGUGGAGCUAAACUCGAGAGGCAAUAGAAAUACAGACUUUUUUUAUUGUUUCUACUUUUUUCUGUCUUUCGAUCAUUUACUUGAUCUGUAAAUAAAAUAAAUAUUUUGUGGCUUUCUAAUAACAAUUGUCUUUUUUUCCCAUCAAUCAUCUAAUUUUUUUUGUCUGUGGUUGGAAAUCUGAAUCACAAAUCUAACAAACAUUCCCAUCCAUUGCGCAAGCUGUUCGGGUAUGCAUCCAUAUCGCGCUUCGAAGUUAUGGAAUUUGGAUGAUCUGCCAAUCGGUUUAAAUUCUGAAAAAUUGCAACUUGGACAGAAAUGAAUGCACAAAUCUAAUAAUAAUUCAUGCAGCAAGGGUGUUCAAAUGAUACGAUACCCUCAAUAUACAUUUUAUGACGAAAUAUAAUGAAAGUUACACAGUUAUUGAAUGUAUUUUAUGAAAAUGUUGGAAUCUGUUAAUGAAUCGUCAUUUGUUUAGUCACUUAGAUCCAGAAGUGUUUUUUCUUUCUCCAUGCUGUUACAACGUGUUUUCUUUUCAAUCUUGUCAUUUUAUGUCUGAGUUCAGUUUAAUGUUUUCAUUGCUACUGUUCGUAUCCCAUUGGAUCAUAUAUGUAAUAAAAUUGGCUACUUGACAAACCCUAACUUAUUUAGAUUUUUUGCACAUUUCAAUAUGACUUGAAUACGUUUUAUGUGUUUUUGUAUGCAAUUAUCUUAAAAUUGUAUUUUGUUUAUAGUUAGACUGUUUUAAAUUUAUUGUUUUCUUCUAUUCAGAGCCAUAUGGAGUUGAAAUAUUUCAAAUAUUUGCACCCUUCUACUAUAGUGUCCAUUUAAUGUUAUAAAAGAGAAUGGUCACGGAACUUAUCAAAUUCAGGGACAAUACACAGAGACAACACAAACAAGGGAAUAAGCUGAGGUCAAGGGUUACAGAAAAUGGAAGAGUCAGAAACAAGCUAAAGUUAGAUAACAGGGAAACAAAACAGACAAUAAAUGCACUCUCAGAUAACCUUAUAGGAAACAGGACAAAGCAUAUGGGGCUAAAAAGCUGCAUAUGUUUAGGUACUUACUGAUUGGUUGAGGUCACUCUUGCGAGUGACGAACUAGGACCAGAAAUUACACAAUGCGUCUUUUUAAUAUAUAUAUAGGGACGCUGUUAUCGGGCUGCGUCCACCAUGUUGCUAAGAUGGGGCCUGCAAGCCUCAUUGUCCAGAUUGACGAAAGUCAUGUGGGCACACUGAUCAGGUAGGUAUUGUGAAACAAAAACAAAUUAAUGCAAAAAAACAUAAUAUAAUAACUGUUUCACAUUUUUACAACAGACGUGUUUCGAGCAGGAAAGGGGUUAAUGUUCCAUAAUGCAGUUACAAAUAUUAGAGAAACAUUACUGUGCUACAUUUUCCCCAAACACAGCAGAAAUCCUUACCUGUCUCACUCGAGAUCCUCAAGGGGGCGUUUCUCAUCCAAAUGUACGCAUUCAACAGCUGUUGCUUCAUUCCCUGCAUCAACUUGAGAUUUGGGGUUCUGCUUUGCAGGAGAAAUUAGGGAAGUCUGACACAACAUAUUGUAAUGGAAUGUGUCAAAUUCUAAAUUUAAACUGUCACUGUUAAUUAAAGGUAUUCUUCGUGUAAAGGGAAAUGUUAUCCAGAAUUGACUCUGCCAUAAUAAACUUUUUAAACCGUGUAUUGUCACCUGCCACCAGUUUUUUUUUUUUUACAUAUGCAAUUAAAAAUGUCUGAUAUAUUUGAACAACCUCAAACAUCUUACUUUAAAGAGAAUAAAAUUAUUCAUUUAGGUUCUUUUAUAUUAUAACCAGUUUAGAAAACUUCAGAUAUCCAUAGGAUGCUUUUUUCCUGUUAUCGUAUAGAAAGACUGCCUUUUAUAGCAAUGUUUUACCAUUCAUGUUAAUGUACCAGUUUCUCUUGUCUCAAUGCUAAAGGAACACUAUAGGCACCAUAAUGUCUUUGUCUAAUUGAAGUGGUAAUAGUAGCUGGAGUUCCCUGGCACUUUCCUUCCAUUCAGCAUUAGACAGUUUUUAAUUUUAAAGUGAAACAAGAGUCGCCAUUAACCCAUCCCUGCUGUGCAACUUGUGCUAACGAGGAAACACAAGCCUCAGCAGACUGAGCAGCAGCUGUGAUUGGUUGAAAGUGUCCGCUGACUUCUUUCAGCUUAUUACAGUGCCACUGCAGGUAUGAGAUGUUAUGGCUACAAGGCAGUGUGUAAUCUCUGCCUUAGCCAUACCUGCAGUCGGGGUGGGGCGCCAGGAAUCUUUAUUCAGUGUUAAACUGCUUGAAGACGGUUUACUACUGAAUGGAAGGAGAGUGCCAGGAGACUCAAGGCACAAUAAUCAAUUUGUGAGAUAAAAAGGAUAUAGCGCCUACAGUGUCCUUUUUGUUUUACCACAGUUAUUCUCUCUACCAACAUUUUUACUGUUCUACAUUUCUCUACAAUAUAAAAACCCCAUUUUAUCCUAUUACAACAUUUCCAUGCUACGCCUUCCUGUUUUAUUGCUCACAGAAGUUUAUUUAUUCACCAACUUUUACUCAAUAGUUAUCCGUACUCAAUCGGUUUACCUCUCUUUCACCCCCAACCUUUCUUAAUAGUCUAAUGAAGUAAGCAAAGGUAUCUGUGUGUCUGACAACUGGGAUGCCUGCUAAUACAUAUCUGAUGUGUCACCCUUUCCUCUGUUUAGGUCUUUCUGUGUACUUUUGUGAGAUUUUAAGAUAACUUGUUAUAAUGGAGAAGAAAUAAAUUAUGACUAUCUUUCCAUACACCUAGUUAAUACUAAAGCAAAAAUGCUAAUUGCUUAGCUCUUUUUUAUUGAUAUUUUUAAAAUAAAUUUCGAUGGUAAUUUUCUCAGGGUGUACACUCUAAUGCAGAAGUGGGCAAACACUAGAUCCCUACAUGUUCUAGAACUGGAAAUUCCAUAAUACUUUGCCAUUCUACAGUAAAGGCUGGCAGAGCAUCAUGGUAGUUGGAAUUCUCCAGCAUCUGGGGGUUUACCAUUUGCCCACCCCUGCUCUAAUUCAAUGUGUAUUUUUACUACAAACCUGUUCGGACCAGAAAUUACUUAACACAAAUAUUUGAGGACACUUAUCUGAAAAAAGGUACAAAUUUCUACCUAAGAACCCAAGUACAAUUGGAUUAUAUAUAGUUUAGGCCUAAUGCAUAACGCCUAACAUUUUAAAUUGACAAAGAGCGAUACUUUCAGUUUAGAGGUGCGAGUGGAGUUGUGGGCAGGCUGUUCUGAGAAAUUUUAGGUAACUAAAUAAUAAAUAAAUAAAAUAGGUUUAUGGAAUUAAAAUGUAAUUUAGAACAAGAACAAUAACAAUGUGUCUUAUUUACACAGACUGAUUUCUAAACACAUUUAUUGUAGUUUAAAGACACAUUACAGUGUGUGAUAUUGCUGUGGAACUGUGUUUUAGACUCAACUGGUAUCUGCUAAAGACUCACACACACCAAGAAUACUGAACUCCUACAAAAGAUGGGCAUUACAAUAGAAAAAGGAUUUGGGCCCAACAUAGGGACAGUCCCUGAUAAAUAGGGAGCGUUAGGAGAUAUGUAAAAUUAAGGGAGGUGGGGUGAUCGUGAUAAGAUCGACGUAUCAGGGAAAGAAAGGUAAGUAAAAUUAUUUUUGUAUUACUUCUGGAGGAGCCCAAUAAUCUACAUAGGUAGACUAACACUAUAGUGUAAGGCAUAAAUAUUUGUAAGAAAAACCACAAAUACCACACAGACACAAGGCAAGUUCUAUAAGGAAUAAAUUAUAUCUGAUGUUUAAGAUCAGUCCAAUUAAUUUGUAUCCACCUCUCUGUGGCGAUAUUAGACAACGAUGUCCUCUAUUUUUACUUAAUAUAAUGAUCAUGUUCUGUAUUGCCUUAUACCAUUUGUCAGAGAUAUUAACCAAAAGAUUUUAUCUACUCAGUAAUAUGAUAUUAUUUUCAGAACCCCAACACUUUAACAUCCCUUUUGAAAUCCAUAUCCAUAUGCAGUAAUGUCUAUCAUGAAUUAUUAUGCAAGUAGAAGAUGAAGAAACAGAUAAAAAUAACCUGCGUUCUACAGCAUUCAUAUUGCAGCAGAUGGUUUUGAGAAUGAUUUGGCUUGCUGUUUCUUUUAUCUGUUGCUAUUUUUCUUCCCUUACAGUGAGAAAGUGGAUUAUUACGCCAGGGGGGCAGUCAUCGAUUCUCCUGGAAAGUUU
Pelobates cultripes (western spadefoot toad) is the source of this 40885-nucleotide non-coding RNA. NCBI's taxonomy places the organism in Eukaryota, Metazoa, Chordata, Amphibia, Anura, Pelobatidae. The record is from the annotation of a GenBank genome assembly.